CUCUCCGGCGCCUACCAUCUCUUUCAGUCGACCUCUCCGGCGCCGACCAACACCACUCGUUCCUUGCGCCGCCUACAUAUCUAUUCCUCGUCGUCUCAACGGUCGACGCAGCCACGAACCACGUUCUCAAUCGCCUCCCCCAAAUCUUAAAACCCUUGGUGUCCAUGCCGCCGCCGCCGCCCCAAUCUCCGCCGAUCAACAAGCAACGAACAUCGACGCUGCUCUGAGCCUUUAUUCGGUCGCCCUAGCGCCGUGCUUCGCCGCUGCUUUGAGUGUCUGGUUUGCCUUGCUGUACUCCGGCUUCUCCACGGCUCUAAGGCCUUCUCCGGUCGCCGCUACACCUCAUUGAAGUCCACGAACAUCCACGCUAGCUGCUCUGAGCCUUUGUCCGGUCGCCCUAGCGCCGUGCUUCGCCACUACUUUCAGCCUCUGGUUUGCGUUGCUGUACUCCGACUUCGCCGCUGCUCUAAAACUUUCUCUGGUUGCCGCCACUCUUCAUUGAAGUCCAGCUGCUCCUUGAGAGUUUUCACAAAUGGACUUCCACUGAAACUGUGGAUCUUGUAUCUAGGCUGCUUCAAUACUCUCCAAGCUUAAGAUACUCUUCUAAGUAUAGCAGUUCAAUCAGCCAUGGAUGAAGAAGAAUAUGCUUCUAUGUCUAAGUUGCAGAAGAAUUUACAAGCAUCCCGGCCAUUGAUAAAGGGCCACCAAUUGAGCAGAAAAAAACUACUGUGGUUAAGUGUAAUCUUUGUUUACUGUUAGAAGACAAGCAUCCCGGCCAUUGAUAAAGGGCCACCAAUUGAGCAGAAAAGAAACUAUUGUGGUUAAGUGUAAUCUUUGUUUACUGUUAGAAGACUGUAAAAAUUUGAUGACAAUUAACCUUGAUGGCGUUGUCAUGUCUUGUUAUUAGAUUUUGAGAAGUUGU
Salvia miltiorrhiza (redroot sage) is the source of this 922-nucleotide long non-coding RNA. RefSeq lists it as uncharacterized. The transcript has 3 exons. The record is from RefSeq and is a predicted model, not a curated record. NCBI's taxonomy places the organism in Eukaryota, Viridiplantae, Streptophyta, Magnoliopsida, Lamiales, Lamiaceae.